Molecule: transfer RNA, 69 nt
Filed under: Rattus norvegicus (Norway rat)
Lineage: Eukaryota; Metazoa; Chordata; Mammalia; Rodentia; Muridae
Rfam family: tRNA
About the family: Transfer RNA (tRNA) molecules are approximately 80 nucleotides in length. Their secondary structure includes four short double-helical elements and three loops (D, anti-codon, and T loops). Further hydrogen bonds mediate the characteristic L-shaped molecular structure. tRNAs have two regions of fundamental functional importance: the anti-codon, which is responsible for specific mRNA codon recognition, and the 3' end, to which the tRNAs corresponding amino acid is attached (by aminoacyl-tRNA synthetases). tRNAs cope with the degeneracy of the genetic code in two manners: having more than one tRNA (with a specific anti-codon) for a particular amino acid; and 'wobble' base-pairing, i.e. permitting non-standard base-pairing at the 3rd anti-codon position.
Source: Rfam by way of RNAcentral
GGGGAUUUAGCUCAGUGGUGGAGCGCUUGCCUACCAAGCACAAGGCCCUGGGUUCAGUCCCCAGCUCCG